Molecule: ribosomal RNA, 1517 nt
Filed under: Klebsiella pneumoniae
Lineage: Bacteria; Pseudomonadati; Pseudomonadota; Gammaproteobacteria; Enterobacterales; Enterobacteriaceae
Description: bacterial SSU rRNA
Rfam family: Bacterial small subunit ribosomal RNA
Source: RNAcentral
AGAGUUUGAUCAUGGCUCAGAUUGAACGCUGGCGGCAGGCCUAACACAUGCAAGUCGAGCGGUAGCACAGAGAGCUUGCUCUCGGGUGACGAGCGGCGGACGGGUGAGUAAUGUCUGGGAAACUGCCUGAUGGAGGGGGAUAACUACUGGAAACGGUAGCUAAUACCGCAUAAUGUCGCAAGACCAAAGUGGGGGACCUUCGGGCCUCAUGCCAUCAGAUGUGCCCAGAUGGGAUUAGCUAGUAGGUGGGGUAACGGCUCACCUAGGCGACGAUCCCUAGCUGGUCUGAGAGGAUGACCAGCCACACUGGAACUGAGACACGGUCCAGACUCCUACGGGAGGCAGCAGUGGGGAAUAUUGCACAAUGGGCGCAAGCCUGAUGCAGCCAUGCCGCGUGUGUGAAGAAGGCCUUCGGGUUGUAAAGCACUUUCAGCGGGGAGGAAGGCGGUGAGGUUAAUAACCUCAUCGAUUGACGUUACCCGCAGAAGAAGCACCGGCUAACUCCGUGCCAGCAGCCGCGGUAAUACGGAGGGUGCAAGCGUUAAUCGGAAUUACUGGGCGUAAAGCGCACGCAGGCGGUCUGUCAAGUCGGAUGUGAAAUCCCCGGGCUCAACCUGGGAACUGCAUUCGAAACUGGCAGGCUAGAGUCUUGUAGAGGGGGGUAGAAUUCCAGGUGUAGCGGUGAAAUGCGUAGAGAUCUGGAGGAAUACCGGUGGCGAAGGCGGCCCCCUGGACAAAGACUGACGCUCAGGUGCGAAAGCGUGGGGAGCAAACAGGAUUAGAUACCCUGGUAGUCCACGCCGUAAACGAUGUCGAUUUGGAGGUUGUGCCCUUGAGGCGUGGCUUCCGGAGCUAACGCGUUAAAUCGACCGCCUGGGGAGUACGGCCGCAAGGUUAAAACUCAAAUGAAUUGACGGGGGCCCGCACAAGCGGUGGAGCAUGUGGUUUAAUUCGAUGCAACGCGAAGAACCUUACCUGGUCUUGACAUCCACAGAACUUNUUGGUGCCUUCGGGAACUGUGAGACAGGUGCUGCAUGGCUGUCGUCAGCUCGUGUUGUGAAAUGUUGGGUUAAGUCCCGCAACGAGCGCAACCCUUAUCCUUUGUUGCCAGCGGUCCGGCCGGGAACUCAAAGGAGACUGCCAGUGAUAAACUGGAGGAAGGUGGGGAUGACGUCAAGUCAUCAUGGCCCUUACGACCAGGGCUACACACGUGCUACAAUGGCAUAUACAAAGAGAAGCGACCUCGCGAGAGCAAGCGGACCUCAUAAAGUAUGUCGUAGUCCGGAUUGGAGUCUGCAACUCGACUCCAUGAAGUCGGAAUCGCUAGUAAUCGUAGAUCAGAAUGCUACGGUGAAUACGUUCCCGGGCCUUGUACACACCGCCCGUCACACCAUGGGAGUGGGUUGCAAAAGAAGUAGGUAGCUUAACCUUCGGGAGGGCGCUUACCACUUUGUGAUUCAUGACUGGGGUGAAGUCGUAACAAGGUAACCGUAGGGGAACCUGCGGUUGGAUCACCU